Molecule: ribosomal RNA, 4138 nt
Filed under: Candidatus Peregrinibacteria bacterium
Lineage: Bacteria; Candidatus Peregrinibacteriota
Description: 23S ribosomal RNA
Rfam family: Bacterial large subunit ribosomal RNA (bases 1-3175)
Source: RNAcentral
GAAUAAGUUACAAAGGGAAGAGAGUGGAUGCCUUGACUUCUGUUUCCGACGAAGGACGUAGCAGGCUGCGAUAAGCCUCGGUGAGCGAGCCAAGCACGCUUUGAUCCGGGGAUGUCCGAAUGGGGAAACCCAAUCCGAGUUAUGUCGGAUUACUCCCGCGCAAGCGAGAGAGGUCACACAGUGAACUGAAACAUCUUAGUAACUGUGGAAAAUAAAUCAACAGAGAUUCCCAAAGUAGUGGCGAGCGAAAUGGGAAAAGCCUAAACCCAAGGUCGAAAGAUUUUGGGGGUUGUAGGACUCCGUUUAAGAUUCACAAAGCUUAGUCAAAGGAACCUGGAAAGGACCACCAAAGAAGGUAAUAGUCCUGUAGACGAAAAGCCAAGUGACUGAGGAGUAUCCUGAGUAAGGUCGGACACGUGAAAUCCGGCCCGAAUCUGGGAAGACCACUUUCCAAGGCUAAAUAGAACAGAAGAUCGAUAGCGAACAAGUACCGCGAGGGAAAGGUGAAAAGUACCCCAGAUAGGGGGAUGAAAUAGUAUCUGAAACUCUCUUCUUAUAAAGAGUCACGGCCCCGCUUAGCGGGGUUGUGGCGUACUUUUUGUAGAACGGACCAACGAGUUAGCUAUAUGAGGCGCAGGUUAAGCCAUUUCAGGCGAAGCCGUAGCGAAAGCGAGUACUAAUAGUGCGUUUGUCUCAUAUACUAGACCCGAAACGGGGUGAGCUACCCAUGGCCAGGAUGAACUCCGCUUAAUCGCGGAGGGAGGUCCGAACACACUGGUGUUGCAAGACCGGGUGAUGAGCUGUGGGUAGGGGUGAAAUGCCUAUCGAACCCCGAGAUAGCUGGUUCUCUCCGAUAUAGUUUUAGGACUAGCCUCGAUUUUUUCAUUAGAGGGGGUAGAGCUCUUUUUCGGCUAGGGGGUGCAAUACACCUACCAAACCGAGAAAAACUUCGAAUACCUUUAUGUAGAUCGGGAGUCAGACCGUGACAGCGAAGUGCCAUUGGUCGUGAGGGGAACAGCCCAGACCGCCUGCUAAGGUCCCUAAUAAAGUUUUAGUGGUAAAGGAUGUGAAACAGCGUAGACAGCCAGGAGGUUGGCUUAGAAGCAGCCACCCUUUAAAGAAAGCGUAACAGCUCACUGGUCGACGUUGUUUUGCGCCGAAAAUCCAACGGGGCUUAAAUCUUUAACCGAAGCAGCGGAUGCAUUGCACCGCAAGUUCAUGCGCAUUAUUUUUUUAUAAUGUGCACUGCGCUUGCGGCGCAGUGCGUGGUAGGAGAGCGUUCUCAUUGCAGCGAAGCGGAAUCGCGAGGUUCCGUGGAGUGGUGAGAAGUGAAGAUGUUGGUAUAAGUAACUAAAACCAGACGAAAACUCUGGUCACCGAAAAUCCAAGGUUUCCCAAGCAACGUCGAUCGACUUGGGGUUAGUCGGUCCUAAGGUCUUGGCUGAAAAGCCUGAUCGAUGGAUAAUCUGUUAAUAUUCAGAUACAACCUUUUUUUCGUCCCAGCAAAACCGGAAGUCUCUUGUGGUGAACUUCGACGCAAGUCGAGGGGAUCCAUUCGAACUGAAGGUGGCGCUAGCUGAGGAGUGACGCAGCAGGAAUUUUGGAGCGUGCAAAUGAAUGUACGUGCAAGCAUCAAGUUUAUGGCUUGAUAGGUAAAUCCGUCAGGUAUCACGAGAUGCUACGCAAAAUGCUUUGACCGCAAGGUCGGGGCGAUUCCAAACGUUUCAGCUGCCGAGAAAACCUUCGCAGCGAGAAAAAAGGGUUACCGUACCGCAAACCAACGCCGGUGGAUAGGUUGAGUAUACUAAGGUGAUCGGGUGAUACCCUCUUAAGGAACUCGGCAAUACAGCAGGUGUAACUACGGAAGAAACCUUGCUUUAAUCCUAUUGUAACUUCACUGUUGCAAUGGGAGAAAAGCCGCAGUGAAAGAUGCCAGGCGACUGUUUAUCAAAAACACAGCUCUCUGCAAAACCGUAAGGUGAUGUAUAGGGGGCGUCGCUUGCCCAGUGCCAGAAGGUCACGAGGAGAGCUUUACGGCUUGAAUCCAAGCCCUGGUGAACGGCGGCCGUAACUAUAACGGUCCUAAGGUAGCGAAAUUCCUUGUCGGGUAAACAAUUUGUUUUCACAGUCGGAAACAACUUGCCCGCACCACACGUAAGCGUGGACACUGAGGAAUAUAAAUGCGCAAGGCAAACGCUUUGUGAACAGUGGAAAACUCGACUAUAUGCUGGAAACCCCGUGUAUGAAGCACUACCCCGCAAGGCGGGGUGACAAUGUGUCUUCUGCGGACAAUCAGCAGGUGUCAUAUGUGGCAACAUAUAUGAUUAACCUCAGAGACUUUACGUCGAGACCCCGCGGGGCGGGGAUAAGAUAAAGUCCGAUCUCAUAGGCGACUAUGAGGCUUACAAAAAACGAGUGAGCCAUUCCUUUUGGAAUGCAACAAACGUCGCAAAAUAGUUCUUAAGACUAUUUAUUGCGGACAAUUGAAGUUCCGACCCGCACGAAAAGCGGAACGGUCCGGCAACUGUCUCGAGGGGGUGCCCGGUGAAAUUACAGAGUCGGUAAAAACGCCGAUUAACCAUGGAAGGACGAAAAGACCCUGUGCAGCUUUACUGUAUCCUGACAUUGAUUCGAGGUAUGUUUUGCGCAGUAUAGGUGGGAGCCUACGAUGGUUCGCUUUCGGGCGGGCUUGAGGCAACAUUGAGAUACCACCCUUGACAUACUUUGACUCUAACCCCGCGUAAAAAGUGGGGAACAGUGUUUGGUGGGCAGUUUAACUGGGGCGGUUUCCUCCUAAAGAGUAACGGAGGAGCGCGAUGGUCAGCUUAGCCUGGAUGGAAAUCAGGCUGGACGUGUAUUCGCAAAAGCUGGCUUAACUGCGAGACCUACAAGUCGAGCAGGUGCGAAAGCAGGCGAAAGUGAUCCGAUGCCACUACGUGGGUAGGGUAUCGCUCAACGGAUAAAAGUUACGCCGGGGAUAACAGGCUGAUCGCGCCCAAGAGUUCAUAUCGACGGCGCGGUUUGGCACCUCGAUGUCGGCUCGUCGCAUCCUGGGGCUGGAGAAGGUCCCAAGGGUAUGGCUGUUCGCCAUUUAAAGCGGUACGCGAGCUGGGUUCAGAACGUCGUGAGACAGUAGAAUUUUUGGCUUAUACAAGCCAAAAAUUGGCUAUUGCUGUCUAUAAAUUCGGCUAAAUGCUGGAAACUCUGAGUAUAUCGUAGUACUGUAUGGGUACAUACUCAUAAGUAAAAAUCUAUGAUUGCAGACAAUCAGCAGGAAAGACUAAAAGAUGGAUUUAAUCAUUACAUUUCCGGUUUUGUGGAUGGAGAAGGAACGUUCCAUGUUGCCAUUCAGAAGACAAAUAAUGUAAUUCCAGAAUUUCGAAUUUCACAACGUAGAGAUCGCGUGGAAUUAUUAAGAAAAAUUCAAGAAAUAUUCCAAUGCGGGUACAUUAAGCAAAAUCAUGCUCGCAAUCUGCGAGAUAAUAAUCUUGUGUACGUCGUUCGUGAUAAGAAUGAUCUCUGUGAUAAGGUAAUUCCUUUCUUCAAAAGAUAUCCGCUUCAAUCAGAAAAGUAUUAUGAUUUCAUUAAGUUUUCUGAAAUUGUUGAAAAGAUGCGGAAGGGCAUUCACCUUAAUAAUAUCGGUUUGAAGGAAUUACUGAAAAUCGUAUUCUCAAUGAAUAGAAAUGGUAAGUAUAGAACUAUUCAUAAAUCAAAUCUCAUUAAUCUUUUAGAAUCCUCAGAGACUAUACGCCGAACUCCUAAAAUACCAGGAGAAGAUAUAGUCCGAUCUCGUUAGCGAUAUCGAGAGAAAAGUAGAAAUACUUUUCCCCCCGCCAAAGCGGGGUGUAACAUUUAUGUUGGCCUCUAUCCGCCAUGGUCGUAGGAAAUUUGAAGGAAGCUGCCCGUAGUACGAGAGGACCCGGGUGGACGAACCUCUAGUAUAUCUGUUGUCGUGUCAACGGCAUAGCAGAGUAGCUAUGUUCGGAAGGGAUAACCGCUGAAAGCAUCUAAGUGGGAAGCCUAUCCUAAGAUAAAAUUUCCCCAUUAGCCUGCGCCAAGACUAGGCGCUUGAUAGGUCUAUAGGUGUAAGCACCGCGAGGUGUUGAGCCAAGAGAUACUAAUAGGCAAUUGACUUAUU